This 433-nucleotide ribosomal RNA is filed under the name uncultured bacterium. RNAcentral describes it as "partial 16S ribosomal RNA". It matches the Rfam family "Bacterial small subunit ribosomal RNA", at positions 29 to 507 of the family's 1533-position model. The record is from RNAcentral.
AACGAACGCUGGCGGCAUGCCUAACACAUGCAAGUCGAACGAGACCUUCGGGUCUAGUGGCGCACGGGUGCGUAACGCGUGGGAACCUGCCCUUAGGUUCGGAAUAACUCCCCGAAAGGGGUGCUAAUACCGGAUAAUGUCUUCGGACCAAAGAUUUAUCGCCUUUGGAUGGGCCCGCGUUGGAUUAGCUAGUUGGUAGGGUAAAAGCCUACCAAGGCGACGAUUCAUAGCUGGUCUGAGAGGAUGAUCAGCCACACUGGGACUGAGACACGGCCCAGACUCCUACGGGAUGCAGCAGUGGGGAAUAUUGGACAAUGGGCGAAAGCCUGAUCCAGCAAUGCCGCGUGAGUGAUGAAGGCCUUAGGGUUGUAAAGCUCUUUUACCCGGGAUGAUAAUGACAGUACCGAGAGAAUAAGCUCCGGCUAACUCCGUG